UCCUCUUUAGUUCAGUCGGUAGAACGGCGGACUGUUAAUCCGUAUGUCACUGGUUCGAGUCUAGUCAGAGGAGCCA
RNAcentral lists this transfer RNA (76 nucleotides) under Escherichia coli. Its description in RNAcentral is "tRNA-Asn". It matches the Rfam family "tRNA". Rfam says of the family: Transfer RNA (tRNA) molecules are approximately 80 nucleotides in length. The record is from RNAcentral. Lineage: Bacteria; Pseudomonadati; Pseudomonadota; Gammaproteobacteria; Enterobacterales; Enterobacteriaceae.